Long non-coding RNA from Marmota monax (woodchuck), 3777 nucleotides. RefSeq lists it as uncharacterized. NCBI's taxonomy places the organism in Eukaryota, Metazoa, Chordata, Mammalia, Rodentia, Sciuridae. The transcript is spliced from 4 exons. The record is from RefSeq and is a predicted model, not a curated record.
CACGGGUGGAAGGAAGGAGAGUGGGAGUAUUCGUGCUUCUCAUUCCAAGUCCUUCUGGCUUCUAGAAUUGUAAAGGCCAGCAGUCAGCCCUUUCGGCGCAAAGGGAAGGAAUCUGCGGGAAUUCUUGUGGAAGGAGAGAAGACACUAACGAGGGACAAAUGAACCUAGCAAAGAGAGAAGAAAGGAGACUCUUCCUGCCCUGCACUCCCAGAGACAAGGUGGUGAACAGUACAGCCGUUAGAGAAUGCUAGACCUCCUCCUCCACCUUGAUGGUUGAAGUCGUUUCAGCAGUUCCUCAAGAGCUGCUUUAACCACGAGGAGGCAGAGUGGAACAUUCUUCUCUUUCAUGAUGUCCCAAACAAGUUGCCACAUGGUAGCCCUGGUCUGAAGGAGAUCCAGCAUAUAAGUGAACCCCUGCUUUGGAACGUAUUCUUUGAAGACAUCUCUCGGCAUUGAUAUAAACGUACAGAACGGCAGGCAAGUUGCAGUCCUGCGCAUGCGCAGUAUUGCCCUCCUCGAUGGUGCCUGGGCACACAGCAAUGGCCUGCAACCGUGAUGCUCGAUUUCUGCGGGGGCUGUAUAAACCGCCGUUCUGCUUUCACAUGAAACAGUAACUUGAAAACAACAUCUGAUUCUUGAGAACAUAAAAACAAAACUGCAUGGCUACUUUCAGUGGUGCAAAAGGUUGGACUCCUCCUCCAAGUACCUGACUUUGCUCAUUUGUUUUCUAAAUACUCAGAAAUGUCGCUUUACGUCCCACUGGUUUACCUCUAAGUAGAGACACCCAGAUCAAACACCCAAGGUCCACCAGCAUUUGAAAAAGUGUUUGUCUGGAACUUCCUUUUUUUUUUUUUUUUUUGCCUUUAUGACCUAAAAACUCAUCCCGGCCGCUCCUUGGAUACAUUCAUAGGCUGGUCUUGACCCUCACAGAGAGGGACCACCAGGGGAUGGGAUCAUAUGUGUCCACUGGUUCUCCACACUGGCUAUCAGUUACCUCUCCUUUCCUUAGACAUUUGCCUCCUUCUGACUCCUACCACAUUCAGGGGUUAUUACUUACUAAAUUGAUUUUUUUUUUUACUGAUCCCCAGUAGUUAAAGCCCUAGCAAUGUCUGUUCAUUCCCUUCCGUUUUUAUAUAAUGAUUCCACUGUAGAUAGUAGCAAUUUAAAACAGAAAUAAAACUCACUCCCCUGUUUUCACUGUAAGGUUUGCUGUCAUAUAAUAGAAGCCUGGUGUCCACAUUUUCAUGGAGGCCCUAACUCAUUCCUUGGUUCCAUUCACCUCUCUUAUUUAACUUUCUUUUCUUCCUUUCAUAUCCAACUGACCUAAGAGAGUAGUGAACACCCAGUACCUCUGCUCCUGCACCUUCCAAUACCCCUUUCCUCGCUGCAUUCCUUCUGCCCUGGUAUCUGGCUCCUAUCCACAGCUCUCCACUGUCGUUGUCCUUGGUAAUGUCAUUCUUCAUAAUGUAGAUGAUGAGCCUGGGGAUGUGGUGGUGCACAUCUGUAAUCCCAGCUGCUUAGGAGGCUGAGGUGGGAGGAUGGAAAGUUGGAGGCCAGCCUGGGCAACUUAGUGAGAUCUUGCUUCAAAAUAAAGAAUAAAAAGGACUGGGUAUGGAGCUCAGUGGUAGAGCCCUGGGUUCCACCCUGGGUACCACCAUCAAUCAAUACAAGUUGAUCACUUCUCUCGUACCCCUCCUUUCUUUCUUGAAGGACACCAUUCAGCCUUGAUCCACCUCCCCCUUGUUCAAUGCACCUCCUCCAAUAUUGCUACACAAGUCUCACUGUUAGACUUCACAUAUUUUUACUCUGCUGCUGUCUCCAGGUGAGCUCAUCCUAUUUAGAUCAGGGGCAUCCCUUCUCUUUGUGCACUCCCCAUUUAUGUCAGUACCGUGUACUUAGUCUCAUUGCACCCAUAUAUUGAAACACUUCUCCUGUUUAUCAGGGGAGUGGAAUAUUCCUAGGUCUCUCUCUCUCUCUCUCUCUCUCUCUUUCUCUCUCUCUCUCUCCCCCCCCCACCACUGGAGUGCUUGAGUAGAACCCAGAGGCUCACACAUGCUAGGCAAGCACCCUACCACUGACCUACCCUCCCAGCCCUAGAUAAUGUUACAUAACACAUCCACAGUGUCCAACAGGCAUUUGAUGAAUAGCAACAUUAGGAAAAUUGCUAAAAUCUCUACUCCCAAAGUCUGCUCUAUUUCCUUGUUUCCUUCAUUCAUUCCUCUGGGGUGCAGUUUAGCUGGGGACAGGCCCAGGUAUUUGGCUUAGCAUAGAUCAAAGUGACCUAAUGGGAAAUAGCUUAGCAUAAUUCUCUAACCAAGUCAUAAAAGUACCUAUUGUCCUGUCCAAACACCAAAUUACAUGUGAGGUCAUUCAGAGUCCGGAAGAUGGUUGCUGUGAUAAGGACUGAGACAUUCUUGAUCAAGUGGGAACUGGUAUUUGUGAGCAUAUUCUGCAUUAAUAACUCACCAAAGCCAAGUUCUUAAGUUGAAGUGGCUAACAAGUGUCUUCUAAUGAGCUGAACUCUUCCACUUACAGUGUGGCCACCCUCCUAUCAGUUGACAACCAUCUCCUGUUGACCUUGGGUGGACUGCAAAUGGGCCUUGAAAGAUUUUAGCCAUUAAGUGAGGCUGAUAAAACCUCGUGAAGAUUGGCAAGCUUUAUGUUGGCCCCAAGGUCUCUUAAAGGUCCUUUUUAAUAUCUUUAAAUUUUGAGCUUUAUCAACAUGAUCUUGAGAUCUGUCUAAGGCAUCAUGCCAAACCUAAUGAAGACUUUACUAGGUAUGAUCAACUGAAAGCCCUCAGGACCCCACACAAGGUAUAUUAAAAACACACACACACACAAACAACCAAUAAAUGUGCCAAGGACCUGAACAGACACUUCUCAGAAGAUGAUUUACAAUCAAUCAACAAAUAUAUGAAAAAAUGUUCAUCAUUGCUACCAAUUAGAUGCCGUAGUCCGGCUGCAGCAAAAUAACCGGGGGGUGACGAACAACUUGUGUAGAUUGAUACAGCAGGAGUGGAAGCCGUUUACUGCAGGACAGGAGCGGUAUUUAUACAUUCCACUCAGCUUAUCUAAUUAGCAUAAACUAGAUACAUCAGUCAACCAAUAAGAAAUCUCCACACUUAAUGGCUCGCUGGCGUAACUUCACAAACCACUCCCUCUGGCAAAAUGCCAGGUGCCAUCCAGACUGUUUACAGACUCUAACAUUUGCCAGGUGCCAUCCUGACUUGUUUACAGACUCUAACAAUUAGAGGAAUGCAAAUCAAAACUACUCUAAGAUAUCAUCUCAGUCCAGUCAGAAUGACAGCUAUUAUGAAGACAAACAACAAUAAGUGUUGGUGAGGAUGUGGGGGAAAAGGCACACUUACAUCUGCUGGUGGGACUGCAAAUCGGUGCAGCCAAUAUGGAAAGCAGUAUGGAGAUUUCUUGGAAAAUUGGGAAUGGAACCACCAUUUGACCCAGCUAUCCCUCUCCUAGGUCUAUAUCUAAAGGACUUAAAAACAGCAUACUGCAGGGACACAGCCACAUCAAUGUUUAUAGCAGCACAAUUCAAAAUAGCUAACUGUGGAACCAACCUAGAUGCCCUUCAAUAGAUGAAUGGAUAAAAAAAUGUGACAUAUAUACGCAGUGGAAUAUUACUCAGCAAUAAAAGAGAAUAAAAUCAUGGCAUUUGGAGGUAAAUGGAUGGAGUUAGAGAAGAUAAUGCUAAGUGAAGUUGGCCAAUCCCAAAUAACCAAAUGUUGAUUUUUUUCCUCUGAUAUAAGGAGACUGAUUCAU